UGUGCUUGCACUAUCACUUAGCGGCGGACGGGUGAGUAAUGCUUAGGAAUCUGCCAUUUAGUGGGGGACAACAUUCCGAAAGGAAUGCUAAUACCGCAUACGUCCUACGGGAGAAAGCAGGGGAUCUUCGGACCUUGCGCUAAAUGAUGAGCCUAAGUCGGAUUAGCUAGUUGGUGGGGUAAAGGCCUACCAAGGCGACGAUCUGUAGCGGGUCUGAGAGGAUGAUCCGCCACACUGGGACUGAGACACGGCCCAGACUCCUACGGGAGGCAGCAGUGGGGAAUAUUGGACAAUGGGCGGAAGCCUGAUCCAGCCAUGCCGCGUGUGUGAAGAAGGCCUUUUGGUUGUAAAGCACUUUAAGCGAGGAGGAGGCUACUAGUACUAAUACUACUGGAUAGUGGACGUUACUCGGGGGGGGGGGCACCGGCUAACUCUGUGCCAGCAGCCGCGGUAAUACAGAGGGUGCGAGCGUUAAUCGGAUUUACUGGGCGUAAAGCGUGCGUAGGCGGCUUUUUAAGUCGGAUGUGAAAUCCCCGAGCUUAACUUGGGAAUUGCAUUCGAUACUGGGAAGCUAGAGUAUGGGAGAGGAUGGUAGAAUUCCAGGUGUAGCGGUGAAAUGCGUAGAGAUCUGGAGGAAUACCGAUGGCGAAGGCAGCCAUCUGGCCUAAUACUGACGCUGAGGUACGAAAGCAUGGGGAGCAAACAGGAUUAGAUACCCCUGGUAGUCCAUG
RNAcentral lists this ribosomal RNA (731 nucleotides) under Acinetobacter sp. CPC4. RNAcentral describes it as "bacterial SSU rRNA". It matches the Rfam family "Bacterial small subunit ribosomal RNA", at positions 75 to 799 of the family's 1533-position model. The record is from RNAcentral. Lineage: Bacteria; Pseudomonadati; Pseudomonadota; Gammaproteobacteria; Moraxellales; Moraxellaceae.